UACAGAGGUGGCAAGCGUUGUUCGGAAUUACUGGGCGUAAAGGGCGCGUAGGCGGUUCGUUAAGUCCUGUGUGAAAUCCCCCGGCUCAACUGGGGAACUGCACAGGAAACUAGCGGGCUUGAGUUCGGGAGAGGGAAGCGGAAUUCCGGGUGUAGCGGUGAAAUGCGCAGAUAUCAGGAGGAACACCGGUGGCGAAGGCGGGUCUCUGGGCCGAUAUUGACGCUGAGGAGCGAAAGCGUGGGGAGCGAACAGG
RNAcentral lists this ribosomal RNA (253 nucleotides) under uncultured bacterium. RNAcentral describes it as "partial 16S ribosomal RNA". It matches the Rfam family "Bacterial small subunit ribosomal RNA", at positions 524 to 776 of the family's 1533-position model. The record is from RNAcentral.